This 69-nucleotide transfer RNA is filed under the name Cephalothrix simula. RNAcentral's name for it is "tRNA-Ala". Lineage: Eukaryota; Metazoa; Nemertea; Palaeonemertea; Archinemertea; Cephalotrichidae. The record is from RNAcentral.
UCUUUAGUACUUUAUAAAAAAGUUUUGAUUUGCAUUUAAAAAAAAGGAUAAUUUAAUUCCUCUAAAGAA